RNAcentral lists this long non-coding RNA (600 nucleotides) under Monodelphis domestica (gray short-tailed opossum). RNAcentral describes it as "lncRNA (ENSMODG00000048884.1)". Lineage: Eukaryota; Metazoa; Chordata; Mammalia; Didelphimorphia; Didelphidae. The record is from RNAcentral.
CUAUGUUAUUAUCUCCACCACUUUGUGGAAGAGGAAACAAAGUUCAGACUUACCAAGAGCCAUAGGGCUCAUGUCUGCCAUUAUAUUGGCUUAGUUUGUUUUAGUAAUAACUUCUUUCUUUCUUCCUUUCUUCCUUCCUUCCUUUCUUUCUUUCUUUCUUGAUUGCUUGCUUUCUCUUUCCUUCUUUCUUCCUUCCUUUCUUCCUUCCUUUCUUCCUUCCUUCCUUCCUUCCUUCCUUCCUUCCUUCCUUCCUUCCUUCCUUCCUUCCUUCCUUCCUUCCUUCCUUCCUUCCUUCCUUCCUUCCUUUCUUUCUUUCUUUCUUUCUUUCCUUUCUUCCUUCCCUUUCUUUCUUUCUUUCUUUCUUUCUUUCUUUCUUUCUUUCUUUCUUUCUUUCUUUCUUUCUUUCUUUCUUUCUUUCUUCCUUCCUUCCUUCCUUCCUUUCUUUCUCUCUUUCUUUUGUUCCUUCCUUCCUUCCUUCCUUCCUUCCUUCCUUCCUUCCUUCCCUUUCCUUCCUUCCUUCCUUCCUUCCUUCCUUCUUUCUCAAAGGGAAUGAGAGAGGCAGGAGAUAGAAAUUAAAUGCUGUCUCUAAAAAAUACACUC